UACGUAGGUGGCAAGCGUUGUUCGGAAUUAUUGGGCGUAAAGGGCGCGUAGGCGGUUUGCUAAGUCAGUUGUGAAAGCCCGGGGCUCAACCCCGGAGAGUCGGCUGAUACUGGUGGACUAGAGUACGGAAGAGGUAGCUGGAAUUCACGGUGUAGCGGUGAAAUGCGUAGAUAUCGGGAGGAACACCUGAGGCGAAGGCGGGCUACUCGGCCGAUACUGACGCUGAGGCGCGAAAGCCAGGGGAGCAAACGGG
This 253-nucleotide ribosomal RNA is filed under the name uncultured bacterium. RNAcentral describes it as "partial 16S ribosomal RNA". It matches the Rfam family "Bacterial small subunit ribosomal RNA", at positions 524 to 776 of the family's 1533-position model. The record is from RNAcentral.